GUGAGCGUGCAACAUAUAGUUACCCAUGAGAAAAACGUGGAUUUUUUUAUUGGAAUACGUGGUAACAGGACCACUUCAGCUUUAAACUUUCCAGAUAAUAUGGUUGCUUCAAGAAUAUUUCUGGUGAUCUUUUUGAUAGCCAAACUCGCACCAUUGCAUAAUCGAGGUGGAUUCAAAUUACGCAGGAGAAAAAUAGGUGAACCAUUCUUUAAUGCGAUGAUUGAGUGCGAUCAGGAAAUGGUAAUACGGUGUGUCGAUGCAGGAUAUGGAGGAUCUAACCACGACUCAUUUGUGUGAAAAAAUAGCUCAUUAAAAACAUAUCUGAAGCAAACAUACCAAAUAGAAGGGAUCAUAAUUCGGUUUACUUAGGUGAUUCUGGUUAUCCACUACGUGAGUAUCUAUGGACGACUUUCCGAAACACUUUAGCAGGAACAGCGGAUUCAAAUUUUAAUAAAAAACAUGCAAAGGCAAGGACCUUAGUUGAAAGGACAAUUGGAGUGGUGAAAUGCCGGUUUCGUUCUAUACUGGGUGAACGUAAACUACGAUAUCCUCCUAGUAAAGCAACUGUGAUUGUAAAUGUCUGUUGUGCUUUACACAAUAUUUGCAAACAAUAUAAUGUAAAUGAUCCUGGACAAGAAACUUUAACCAGUUGAAGGAAACUUCAGUGGAACAGUAGCAGAUCAUCGCCGAAAACAAAUUGCGAAUGCAUUGUCAUAGUGUAGUUGCAUCCCUAAAAUAUAUGUAAAAUAUACGUAUAUGUAACCAGUGUUUAAAAAACUGCAGUCGAAUUAGCAGAAGUCGCAAUAUUGUUGCUAUUCGCUACUUCAACUGCGAGCGAUAUCAAAAAGUAUGCAAUUGCUUUUGCUUCUGCUUCUGAAAAAAUCAGAAGUCGAAUGCUUUGACUGGCGCAAAAAUCAAACAGCUACGAAAAUCAGAAAUCAGGGCACGAUUCCGAUUACUUUGGCGGAGGGGUAAAAAAACCGAAUUUCCAUAUAAAUGGGGUAUGUCCAGAGGAGGAAUAUCCAAAAAUAAUUUUAAAAUAAUUUAUAUUUUUCAAAAUAUUCACGAUUAAAGAUUCAAAAAUUUGCACUAAAAACACAUGGUAUUUCUCUAAGUUUCAGUAUUUUUUUUACAUUUUUCACUUGGUAUAUUUAAAUAUAUACUUUAAAGAUUGCAAUAAGUUCACAUUUCACUUUUAUUUUGUGAUAUUUUACCCAAAUUUAUUAAUUUAAAAAUCACUUAUCUCACUCAUCGCUGCAAAGGUUAGAUUGUUUACAAUUAUGAGGAAAACAAGCGUUGCCACAUCUUAAAUACCAAAUUUGUAGGAUUCUUAACGAUAUUUCUUUGUUUGUUUCUUUCCGUGAUUCUUUUUUCUAUAUUAAUUAUACUAAAACAUACUUUCCAACAUUUUUCAAGUUAUAAUAUUGAGUUGUGAAAACUUUUUCCAUCUACAUAUGUAUAUGUAUAAUUUGCGAUUUAUGUUCAAUAAAGACAAAUAAGUAAAAAUCUUUGAUAAUAUUGUAAAAUUUAAUCAUAUCGGAUUGACUGAAGUACUUUCGCGUAGUAC
Long non-coding RNA from Bactrocera dorsalis (oriental fruit fly), 1567 nucleotides. RefSeq lists it as uncharacterized. The transcript has 3 exons. The record is from RefSeq and is a predicted model, not a curated record. NCBI's taxonomy places the organism in Eukaryota, Metazoa, Arthropoda, Insecta, Diptera, Tephritidae.